Non-coding RNA from Salmo salar (Atlantic salmon), 986 nucleotides. Lineage: Eukaryota; Metazoa; Chordata; Actinopteri; Salmoniformes; Salmonidae. The record is from RefSeq and is a predicted model, not a curated record.
UUUCCCUCUCACCUAUACACAAUAUCCCAUAACUACAAAGUGAAAAUAUGUUUUUAUACAUUUUUGCUAAUGUAUUGAGAAUUAAAUACAGAAAUAGGGUGAGUAUUGGUUAAGUGGGACAUUUAAGCUUUGUAAUGGAUAUCUUUAAAUGUGUAUAAUAACAUAACCAACAAUCAAGGCCUGUGUGUUAGUCAUUUUAAUUCUGAACUGGAAUAAACUGAUUGAUCACAUCACACAGAUGUAUAACAGAACACACAGGCUCAGUUUGAUAGUGCACCCUUAAGUAACAGUACAGAUGAAAAAUGAUCAGGCCUACUGUACAUCUUACUGUACAAAGUAUUGUUGAAAAAAAAGGUCUAGGUUGGAACUGUUGCUGUUAACAUACAAUAAAUAUAUUUUAUUCUAAACUGGAUUAAACACAGUCCUAAUGAGAGGUGUGUGGCUGGUUGAAGUUUUCAACAAGCAGGUCUAUUCUAGGCUAAAUUUUUGACAGUGCAACCCUGAGGUCAUGCCCAGCAUUGAGUCUGUUUCUGUACUUGUUUUUUUGUUUUUUAAGUAUGCCAGGGUUGAGAACCCUGACUCGCAUAGGUAUGUGGUGCCAAACUAGCUUAGAACAUCUACUGCUUUCUCAGUCUAGACAGGAGACUGCUUCCUGCAGUAGAUGAAAAACCCAGAACUCCAAGCCGGGAUCAUUUGCAGUCUGGGCGCGGAGGGGUGAACAUCUCCUGCUCUGACUGCUGCUGGGAGGGACUGCUGCGCGAGGACUGGGCCGCCUGUGAGUGCUUUGGCACGGGGGUGGGGCCCACGGCAGCAUCCGCUGCUCGUUGAGAAGAGAAUCUCUAAAUGCUAUGUUGAAUGAGCGCCGCAGAUGAAGGACAGGGAGGAAAACGGACAACUUCUUUCUACCACACCUUUACCAAGUCAUACAAUGUUUGCUUCAUGAACAAUUGUUACAUCAGAAAUAAAUACAGAAUUAUUUUAGUUUA